AUACAUGCAAGUCGAACGGUAAGCACCUGCUUGCAGGUGACACGAGUGGCGCACGGGUGCGUAACGCGUAUGCAAUCUACCUCUAACUGGGAAAUAGCCCCGAGAAAUCGGGAUUAAUAUCCCAUAAUAUCCAUUUAACGCAUGUUUUAUGGAUUAAAGUUCCGACGGUUAGAGAUGAGCAUGCGUAACAUUAGUUUGUUGGUGAGGUAACGGCUCACCAAGACUUCGAUGUUUAGGGGUUCUGAGAGGAUUAUCCCCCACACUGGUACUGAGACACGGACCAGACUCCUACGGGAGGCAGCAGUAAGGAAUAUUGGUCAAUGGACGAAAGUCUGAACCAGCCAUGCCGCGUGCAGGAUGACUGCCCUAUGGGUUGUAAACUGCUUUUAUACGGGAAAAAACCCCCAUACGUGUAUGGGGCUGAUGGUACCGUAAGAAUAAGCACCGGCUAACUCCGUGCCAGCAGCCGCGGUAAUACGGAGGGUGCAAGCGUUAUCCGGAUUUAUUGGGUUUAAAGGGUGCGCAGGCGGAAUGAUAAGUCAGUGGUGAAAGCCUACAGCUUAACUGUAGAAAUGCCAUUGAUACUGUCGUUCUUGAGUACAGUUGAAGUGGGCGGAAUGUGUCAUGUAGCGGUGAAAUGCAUAGAUAUGACACAGAACACCGAUAGCGAAGGCGGCUCACUAAGCUGAAACUGACGCUCAGGCACGAAAGCGUGGGGAGCAAACAGGAUUAGAUACCCUGGUAGUCCACGCCGUAAACGAUGAUCACUCGAUGUUGGCAAUAUACCGUCAGCGUCCUAGAGAAAUCGUUAAGUGAUCCACCUGGGGAGUACGCUCGCAAGAGUGAAAUUCAAAGGAAUUGACGGGGGCCCGCACAAGCGGAGGAGCAUGUGGUUUAAUUCGAUGAUACGCGAGGAACCUUACCUGGGCCUAAAUGUAGGACGACAGUCCCCGAAAGGGGAUUUUCUUCGGACGUCUUACAAGGUGCUGCAUGGUUGUCGUCAGCUCGUGCCGUGAGGUGUCGGGUUAAGUCCCAUAACGAGCGCAACCCCUAUCCUUAGUUGCUAUCAGAUAAUGCUGGGGACUCUAGGGAAACUGCCUACGCAAGUAGUGAGGAAGGUGGGGAUGACGUCAAAUCAGCACGGCCCUUAUGUCAGGGCUACACACGUGCUACAAUGGCCGGUACAGAGGGCAGCUACUUGGUGACAAGAUGCUAAUCUCCAAAACCGGUCUCAGUUCGGAUCGAAGUCUGCAACUCGACUUUGUGAAGUUGGAUUCGCUAGUAAUCGCGCAUCAGCCAUGGCGCGGUGAAUACGUUCCCGGGCCUUGUACACACCGCCCGUCAAGCCAUGGAAGCUGGGGGUACCUGAAGUCCGUGACCGCAAGGAGCGGCCUAGGGUAAAACCAGUGACUGGGGCUAAGUCGUAACAAGGUA
Molecule: ribosomal RNA, 1434 nt
Filed under: metagenome
Description: bacterial SSU rRNA
Rfam family: Bacterial small subunit ribosomal RNA
Source: RNAcentral